Molecule: long non-coding RNA, 969 nt
Organism: Athene cunicularia (burrowing owl)
Lineage: Eukaryota; Metazoa; Chordata; Aves; Strigiformes; Strigidae
Exons: 3
Source: RefSeq, a predicted model, not a curated record
AAAAGAUUCUAGCACACGCUAAUUUAACAACCCUGCUACAUCGUCUUUUUUUUUUUUUUUUCCCCCUUCUGCUUCCAGGAUAAUUAAAAGAGAAACCUGUAAAGGCAACAUUCCUUCAAGCAAGUUGGUGCUGCAACGUGCUGAUGAUUUUCACAAGAUACUGGGAUGGCCGAUCACCAGGGUAUGCUUAAGUAUUCACAGACUGCUGUCAGCAGAGCAGAGCUGAGUGUCCAGCAGAAGCCCCGGGGCCACCUCGGCAAGGGGUCCUCAACACACCUCAGGCUCAUCCCACUUCCAAACUCAGACCUGGUGGCACCAACCAAGACAUGAUCUUCCCAGAUCUCUCCAGGCACAGCCAGACCCCUUCCACAGCCCAAGAGCUGGCCUCUGAUAUAUAGAAAGACAUUGAUCCAGGAUGCUUUCACCAUGUAAGUUCCAAACAAAUUUGGCCUGUUCAAGUGGACCAAGAGCAGAUGAUAUUGCAGAUGAACUGCAAGACAGCUGGAGGACUGAAGUGAGAGCCUGCAUCCAGAAGGACUGUGAGGAUUAACCUAAAGUCAGCUGACAGCAGUCUGGGUUUACCAUAAGUUCUUGGCCUAUGAAUGUGGAAAGAAAAAAAAAAAAAAAGCCAGAAAAUCAACUUCUAAGUGCUGGACAAUGCUAGAGCUGCUACAAGCACCCAUUGUGGUAGGGGACAAAGCCCCAAGACCCUUCAGGAACUUUGUACACUGAAACUUUUUCCAGUAUUUUGGGCUAUACUUCAAUCACUAGGAAAGAUGGGGUAGCCUGUCUCCUCUUCCAAUGACUACUAUGGGUAGGAAUUAUAUGUAUGUUCUCUGAAACAGGCCAUGCGACUGUUAUUUUUCCCUCAGUGAUGUAAUACCCUUGUGAGCAUAAUCAUUCCUGGUUCUUAGUGUUCUCACAUUAGGCCAAUUGACCAAGAUCUACUGUUUAUGAAAAAUAAAUGUG